UUUUUUUUUUAGUUUGAUCAGAUGGAAACUGAUGUCAUGUGUUCCCUGAGAACAUUACUGAUAAUCAUGAUUCUUCUGCAUGGAACGAGUAGUCAAGAUUCAGUUUCCCAGAGCCCACCUCAAUUAUCGGUUGAGGAAGAACAAACGGUAAUGUUGAACUGUAGUUACAACUCGUCGGGUGGUGCUACUCUCUUCUGGUACGUCCAAUAUCCCGGGGAAGCUCCGAGAUAUUUACUGAAGAGGUACAAGGAUGAAGAGGGGGAUAGCUCACCAGAUUUCCGUAACCGGUUUUCUGCCAAUUUGGACAAAGUCAAAAAAGUGGUCCCUUUGAGAAUUAAUGAAACCCGUCUGUCUGACUCAGCCAUCUAUCACUGUGCACUGAGCUCCACACUGAUACAGAGACCCAAUGUUAAGCGUGCAGACUCGGUCUCACAGGAGCAGACUAUUGUGAUACAGUUUGAAGGAGAUUCGGUGACCAUUAAUCUCAGCUAUUCUGCCAGAGCUGACAAGUAUUGCUUACAAUUGUAUCGUCAAGACAUCGCUACUGACUGGAUGUUUGUCUGUAUAAUCCAUCAUCCUGCUGCCCUUCAGUGUGAUAUACUGCCAAAGCUUUUCCGAGAAAGUUCUGACGACAUUGGCAGCUCAGGUUACUAUAGCUCGAUCUGGAACCUGCAAGCAUGA
Molecule: non-coding RNA, 681 nt
Organism: Rhincodon typus (whale shark)
Lineage: Eukaryota; Metazoa; Chordata; Chondrichthyes; Orectolobiformes; Rhincodontidae
Source: the annotation of a RefSeq genome assembly